AACGAACGCUGGCGGCAUGCCUAACACAUGCAAGUCGAACGGGAUCCUGGCUUCGGUCAGGUGAGAGUGGCGGACGGGUGAGUAACGCGUGGGAACCUGCCCAGUGGUGGGGGAUAACUGCGGGAAACUGCAGCUAAUACCGCAUGAGCCCGAGAGGGGAAAGAUUUAUCGCCAUUGGAGGGGCCCGCGUUCGAUUAGGUAGUUGGUGAGGUAACGGCUCACCAAGCCGACGAUCGAUAGCUGGUCUGAGAGGAUGAUCAGCCACACUGGGACUGAGAUACGGCCCAGACUCCUACGGGAGGCAGCAGUGGGGAAUAUUGGACAAUGGGGGCAACCCUGAUCCAGCAAUGCCGCGUGAGUGAUGAAGGCCUUCGGUUGUAAAGCUACUUUUGUCCGGGACGAUGAUGACGGUACCCGGAGAAUAAGCCCCGGC
RNAcentral lists this ribosomal RNA (433 nucleotides) under uncultured bacterium. RNAcentral describes it as "bacterial SSU rRNA". It matches the Rfam family "Bacterial small subunit ribosomal RNA", at positions 29 to 497 of the family's 1533-position model. The record is from RNAcentral.